RNAcentral lists this ribosomal RNA (253 nucleotides) under uncultured bacterium. Its description in RNAcentral is "partial 16S ribosomal RNA". It matches the Rfam family "Bacterial small subunit ribosomal RNA", at positions 524 to 776 of the family's 1533-position model. The record is from RNAcentral.
UACAGAGGUGGCAAGCGUUGUUCGGAAUUACUGGGCGUAAAGGGCGCGUAGGCGGUUCGUUAAGUCCUGUGUGAAAUCCCCCGGCUCAACUGGGGAACUGCACAGGAAACUAGCGGGCUUGAGUUCGGGAGAGGGAAGCGGAAUUCCAGGUGUAGCGGUGAAAUGCGUAGAUAUCCGGAGGAACACCGGUGGCGAAGGCGGCUUCCUGGACCGACACUGACGCUGAGGCGCGAAAGCUAGGGGAGCAAACGGG